UGCAGUCGAGCGGAUGAGAGAGCUUGCUCUCUGAUUCAGCGGCGGACGGGUGAGUAAUGCCUAGGAAUCUGCCUGGUAGUGGGGGACAACGUUUCGAAAGGAACGCUAAUACCGCAUACGUCCUACGGGAGAAAGCAGGGGACCUUCGGGCCUUGCGCUAUCAGAUGAGCCUAGGUCGGAUUAGCUAGUUGGUGAGGUAAUGGCUCACCAAGGCGACGAUCCGUAACUGGUCUGAGAGGAUGAUCAGUCACACUGGAACUGAGACACGGUCCAGACUCCUACGGGAGGCAGCAGUGGGGAAUAUUGGACAAUGGGCGAAAGCCUGAUCCAGCCAUGCCGCGUGUGUGAAGAAGGUCUUCGGAUUGUAAAGCACUUUAAGUUGGGAGGAAGGGUUGUAGAUUAAUACUCUGCAAUUUUGACGUUACCGACAGAAUAAGCACCGGCUAACUCUGUGCCAGCAGCCGCGGUAAUACAGAGGGUGCAAGCGUUAAUCGGAAUUACUGGGCGUAAAGCGCGCGUAGGUGGUUCGUUAAGUUGGAUGUGAAAGCCCCGGGCUCAACCUGGGAACUGCAUUCAAAACUGACGAGCUAGAGUAUGGUAGAGGGGUGGGGGGGAAUUUCCUGUGUAGCGGUGAAAUGCGUAGAUAUAGGAAGGAACACCAGUGGCGAAAGCGACCACCUGGACUGAUACUGACACUGAGUGCGAAAGCGUGGGGAGCAACAGGAUUAGAUACCCUGGUAGUCCACGCCGUAACGAUGUCAACUAGCCGUUGGGAGCCUU
This 780-nucleotide ribosomal RNA is filed under the name Pseudomonas sp. RNAcentral's name for it is "bacterial SSU rRNA". It matches the Rfam family "Bacterial small subunit ribosomal RNA", at positions 56 to 833 of the family's 1533-position model. The record is from RNAcentral. Lineage: Bacteria; Pseudomonadati; Pseudomonadota; Gammaproteobacteria; Pseudomonadales; Pseudomonadaceae.